UGUUGAAUUCAAUGAGGGAUGCUAAUAGUGCUGCCCCUGCUUUUGCAUUGGUGAAGUGUAUGUUCAAAAACAGAUAUUUCAUCCCUUUUAAUCUGUGGGGUGAUGUUCUUGUGGAGAUUUGUAGGAAAAAUGGUAACUUUGGUGGGUUUUUACAAGUUUUUAAUGAGAAUUGUAGGCUUGCUAUUGAUGAGAAGUUGAAUUUCUUGAAACCUAGUUUGGAAG
This 222-nucleotide unclassified non-coding RNA is filed under the name Hevea brasiliensis (rubber tree). The record is from RNAcentral. Lineage: Eukaryota; Viridiplantae; Streptophyta; Magnoliopsida; Malpighiales; Euphorbiaceae.